Molecule: ribosomal RNA, 468 nt
Filed under: uncultured bacterium
Lineage: Bacteria
Description: partial 16S ribosomal RNA
Rfam family: Bacterial small subunit ribosomal RNA
Source: RNAcentral
GACGAACGCUGGCGGCGUGCUUAACACAUGCAAGUCGAACGGAAAGGCCCUGCUUUUGUGGGGUGCUCGAGUGGCGAACGGGUGAGUAACACGCGAGUAACCUGCCCUUGACUUUGGGAUAACUUCAGGAAACUGGGGCUAAUACCGGAUAGGAGCUCCUGCUGCACGGUGGGGGUUGGAAAGAUUCGGCGGUUGGGGCUGGACUCGCGGCUUAUCAGCUUGAUGGUGGGGUAGUGGCUUACCAAGGCUUUGACGGGUAGCCGGCCUGAGAGGGUGACCAGCCACAUUGGGACUGCGGUACGGCCCAGACUCCUACGGGCGGCAGCGGUGGGGAAUAUUGCGCAAUGGGCGGAAGCCUGAUGCAGCAACGCCGCGUGCGGGAUGACGGCCUUCGGGUUGUAAACCGCUUUCGCCUGUGACGAAGCGUGAGUGACGGUAAUGGGUAAAGAAGCACCGGCUAACUACGUG